Molecule: ribosomal RNA, 229 nt
Filed under: uncultured bacterium
Lineage: Bacteria
Description: partial 16S ribosomal RNA
Rfam family: Bacterial small subunit ribosomal RNA
Source: RNAcentral
CGUGCAGGCGGUUUGACAAGUUGGAUGUGAAAGCUCCCGGCUUAACUGGGAGAGGUCGUUCAAUACUGUCAGACUAGAGAAUGGGAGAGGGAGGUGGAAUUCCGGGUGUAGUGGUGAAAUGCGUAGAUAUCCGGAGGAACACCAGUGGCGAAAGCGGCCUCCUAGACCAUUUCUGACGCUAAGACGCGAAAGCUAGGGUAGCAAACAGGAUUAGAUACCCUGGUAGUCC